UGUGAGUCAGAUAUGUCUGCUGCUAAUCUAUUGGUUAUAAAAUAUCACAGCCUUUUCUGAUUGGCUGAGUUCAAAUACAGAAAGUUUACCUGUUAGAUUGAAAUUCUGGAGCAGGCGUAUUGUAAAAUAUGCAGGUUAAACUUGUUGUUAAAAUGAAGUUAAUGUAAUGUUCACAAACAGUAGAGUUAAUGAGUUUUUCCAUUAACAAGAAUUUCUUAAAAUAAUAAUGUAUGGAUAUCAUUUGGAAAGUGACAUGAAAUGUUGUUAAAAAGUGAUGCAUACAAGUGUUUCAGAAGUCUGUCUAGGAAUAGAACAACAACUGAAGCUGACCAGUUGAUGAAAGAUACUGCAGAGUUUGGCAGGGAAAUAACCCAAGACAGCAAAGCGGCUCUUUUGGCGCAUUUACUAAGAGGACUAACAUGGCCACAAAUUCAUGAGAUCAUGCAGGAGCCGUACAGUAUAACAGCAGUACAAGUUCUAUAAAAGAUCCACAACCUACUGAAGCCCAGCUAAUUAACAAAAAAGUUUUUAAAAACUGUAAUUUUAUCCCACCUGGGUACUUAUAAUUUACUAAGCUGCCUACACAAGUUUUAGACUUGCAAUUAUAUUUUAAACUGUCACUUGGAAAGUAAUACAUGUACAUGCAUUAUGUUCUGAAUUUCUUUGAACAAUAAAAUUAUAUAAAAGUAUUUUAAUGAAAUUGAGCACCUAAAUUGCAUUUAAGUGAAAGUAGCUGAGAAAAAUAGUAUCCUUGUGCUCAUGGGCAGCUACAUAUAUUGUGACAAACAUGAAUU
Molecule: long non-coding RNA, 794 nt
Organism: Dreissena polymorpha
Lineage: Eukaryota; Metazoa; Mollusca; Bivalvia; Myida; Dreissenidae
Exons: 3
Source: RefSeq, a predicted model, not a curated record